Molecule: ribosomal RNA, 2808 nt
Filed under: Triticum aestivum (bread wheat)
Lineage: Eukaryota; Viridiplantae; Streptophyta; Magnoliopsida; Poales; Poaceae
Description: partial small subunit ribosomal RNA
Source: RNAcentral
AUGGAGGAGAUGCCAAGCGAGAAGAAACAAAGUGAAUCUGGAUCAAUUAAUUGCGCACCUAGUUCAAGCAGCAGCCAGGACAUUCCCAAUUCACUGGUGAAUAAAGAUGAAGACCUCGCUAUUGGGGUGGUAACAGAGUUAAAGAAGGAGGGGACGCCCAUUGAACAGAAGGAGGAAAGGGCGUCAACGGCCAUCGACUUGAAGGAGGAGGGUACAACCACCCAACUGAAGGAGGAAGGGGCUUCCAAGGAGGAUGAGGCAGCUGUUGACUCCAAGGAAGAGGGGGCGAAAACCGAAUUGGAGGAAAAGACGAUGUUAUCCCAGAAGAGAGACUAUGAGAAGGCUAUCGAACUUAAGGGAGAGGGGACAAGGCUAUUCCAGAGGCGGGAUUAUGAGGGGGCGGCUCUUGAGUUUGAUAAGGCAAUAAAGCUUUUGCCAAAGGGGCACGAUGAUAUCGCCUUCCUCCACUGCAAUAUUGCUGCAUGUUACAUGCACAUGAAACCUGAGAGUUAUGAACGAGCGGUUGACGAGUGCAACGCAGCACUGGAAGCAUCGCCGAAGUAUACAAAUGCAUUGCUGAAAAGGGCACGAUGCUUUGAAGCAUUGGAUAGGCUGGAUCUGGCUUGUGAGGAUGUGCAGAAGGUGCUGAGCUUGGAACCAAACAAUGUCACUGCAUUGGAGCUCUACGAGAGCCUUAGGGAGGAGAUGGAGACAGAAAAUUUAUUGGAGAAUCAGGUUGUGUCACCGGUAGAGCCUAAGGCCGGUUUUUCAAAAGAGAAGAUCCAGAGGAAAGUAUCUCGCAGAUUUAGAAACAAUUCCAUAGUUGAGGAGGUGUGGUUGAUUCACGAUGACGAUGAGCAAGAGAAUGAUGAAGAUGGCAACGAAGAAGAGUGCAGUGAAGAAAACCACAUGGAGAAUGACUUAAGCAAUGAAGGAAAUGAUACCCGGGAGAUGCCAUCGAGACAUAAUCAUGACGAGGAUAAAAGGAACACGGAACAGAACCAGGUGAAGCAUGGUCAGCACAAACUAGGAGCAGAUGAUGAAGGCCAACGACUGCAGCAUGCUCCGAGGGAUGCGGAACAAAUGCACCACAAAGAAACAGAGAGUCAAAAUACGCAUGAAAAGCCCCUCAAAGAGAUAAAGGUGAGAAGUGGUCAGGAUCAGCAGGUAAUGCAUACAAAGCAGAAUCAAGUCGCCGAUAUGGAUGUGCGUCAAAAGCAAAUUGAGGAUGUACCAACCACUAGCCGUAGCAACCAAGAAAUUCACUCUGAGAUGUAUGAAAGGUUUAUCAAUGGCAACCAAGCAAGACGCUCCUUAAAGCGGCAUACUAGUCGUGGCGGGGACAAGCAGGAAAAGCAAACUUCAGUUAAACUAGCAAGUCCUGGGGGAGAUGAGCACCAAAAACAGAAGCGCGCAUAUGCUAGCGAUGGAGAAACAAAGACUGUAAAGUUUGUUAUGGGAGAUGACAUAAGGAUUGCACUUGUUCCAGAAGACUGUAGUCUACGGCAAGCGAUAAAUGUAGCUCGGUGUAAGUACAGUCCCCACCUGAAGGCAAUGCUUCUUAAGUUUCAGGACAUAGAGGGUGACUUGGUGACAAUUACAUCAACUGAGGAACUAAGGUGGGUUGAGGAUCUGAAGCAAGGACCCGCUCGGCUGUACAUAAAAGAAGUAAGUCCUGAGCGCGAGAUCACCAAGGACAUCGUCAUGCCCAAUAUUUCUACGGCAACACUGGAAAGAAAGCAUAGCAUCUCUGAGUGCGGAAGCGCUAGACACCCAGCAGAAGACAAGAGCUCAUCAUAUGCUGAUGACUGGAUGGUGCAGUUCGCUCGUCUAUUCAAGAACCAUGUUGGUUUUGAUUCUGAUGCAUUAGUGGAUCUCCGUGACCUUGGUACGCGGCUGUGCAUUGAGGCAAUGGAAGACACCAUCACAAGCGAAGAAGCCCAGGAGAUAUUUCAUGCCGCAGAGGCAAAAUUUCAGGAAAUGGCAGCUUUAGCAUUGUUUAACUGGGGCAACAUACACAUGUCUCGUGCAAAGAAACGACUAUCUUUAUCAGAGGAUGCUUCAAAGGACUCUGUACUUUCCCAGGUCAAAACCGCAUACGAACUGGCAUGCGCUGAAUACGUCAAAGCUGGAAAGAAGUUUGAAGAUACCGUGGAUGUAAAGCCAGACUUUUAUGAAGGCCUUAUUGCGCUUGGAAAUCAACAGUUUGAGCAAGCAAAACUUUCUUGGCGUUAUGCAGAUGCUUGUAAGGUAGACAUGCGAACUGAAGUACUAGAGCUAUUCAAUCGUGCUGAGGAUAAUAUGGAAAAAGGAAUGGAGAUGUGGGAGGGAAUAGAAUACUUGCGACUAAAAGGGUUAUCUAAAUCAAAAAAGGAGAAAAUCCUACUGGAUAAGUUGGGAUUGGAUGGGCACCAAAAAGAUUUAACAGCAGAUGAAGCGUUUGAGCAAGCUUCAAAUAUGCGAUCACAGCUAAACAUUUCAUGGGCUACCAUUCUUUAUGAGCGAUCAGUAGUAGAAUUCCAGUUAGGUCUUGCUAGCUGGGAGGAGAGUCUCACCGAAGCAAUUGAGAAAUUUAAGACCGGUGGAGCUUCGCUGGCAGAUAUCAGUGUAAUGAUAAAGAACCAUUGUGCGAAUGAGAAAACUCAAGAAGGAUUGAGCUUCAAGAUUGAUGAGAUAGUUCAAGCAUGGAACGAAAUGUACGAUGCUAAAAAGUUGGAAAAUGGUAGUUCUUCUUUCCGUCUUGAACCUUUAUUUCGAAGACAGCCUUCGAAGUUGCAUAAUGUACUAGAGCACAUAAAGUACACAUGA